GUGGCGAACGGGUGAGUAAUGCAUCGGAACGUGCCCGAUCGUGGGGGAUAACACUUCGAAAGAAGUGCUAAUACCGCAUACGAUCUGAGGAUGAAAGCGGGGGACCGUAAGGCCUCGCGCGAUCGGAGCGGCCGAUGUCAGAUUAGGUAGUUGGUGGGGUAAAGGCCUACCAAGCCGACGAUCUGUAGCUGGUCUGAGAGGACGACCAGCCACACUGGGACUGAGACACGGCCCAGACUCCUACGGGAGGCAGCAGUGGGGAAUUUUGGACAAUGGGCGCAAGCCUGAUCCAGCAAUGCCGCGUGCAGGAAGAAGGCCUUCGGGUUGUAAACUGCUUUUGUACGGAGCGAAAAGGCUCUCUCUAAUACAGGGGGCUGAUGACGGUACCGUAAGAAUAAGCACCGGCUA
Molecule: ribosomal RNA, 408 nt
Filed under: uncultured bacterium
Lineage: Bacteria
Description: bacterial SSU rRNA
Rfam family: Bacterial small subunit ribosomal RNA
Source: RNAcentral